GGCAAGCGUUAUCCGGAAUAUUGGGGCGUAAAGCGUCCGCAGGGGGCACUUCAAGUCUGCUGUCAAAGGUCGGAGCUUAACUCCGGUUCGGCAGUGGAAACUGGAGUGCUAGAGGGCGACAGGGGUAGAGGGAAUUCCCAGUGUACCGGUGAAAUGCGUAGAGAUUGGGAAGAACACCGGUGGCGAAAGCGCUCUACUGGGUCGCACCUGACCCUCAGGGACGAAAGCUAAGGUAGCGAAAGGGAUUAGAUACCCCUGUAGUCUUAGCCGUAAACGAUGGAUACUAGGCGUGGUUUGUAUCGACCCAAGCCGUGCCGAAGCUAACGCGUUAAGUAUCCCGCCUGGGGAGUACGCACGCAAGUGUGAAACUCAAAGGAAUUGACGGGGGCCCGCACAAGCGGUGGAGGAUGUGGUUUAAUUCGAUGCAACGCGAAGAACCUUACCAGGGCUUGACAUCCCGCGAAUCUUGCUGAAAGGUGAGAGUGCCUUCGGGAGCGCGGAGACAGGUGGUGCAUGGCUGUCGUCAGCUCGUGUCGUGAGAUGUUGGGUUAAGUCCCGCAACGAGCGCAACCCUCGUCCUUAGUUGCCAGCAUUAAGUUGGGCACUCUAGGGAGACUGCCGGUGACAAACCGGAGGAAGGUGAGGAUGACGUCAAGUCAGCAUGCCCCUUAUGCUCUGGGCGACACACGUCCUACAAUGGUCGGGACAAAGGGGAGCAAGCUCGCGAGAGUAAGCGAAUCCCAGCAAACUCGGCCUCAGUUCAGAUUGCAGGCUGCAACUCGCCUGCAUGAAGGAGGAAUCGCUAGUAAUCGCAGGUCAGCAUACUGCGGUGAAUUCGUUCCCGGGCCUUGUACACACCGCCCGUCACACCAUGGAAGCUGGCCAAGCCCGAAGUCGUUACCCUAACCGUUUGGAGGGGGGCGCCGAAGGCUGGGCUAGU
Molecule: ribosomal RNA, 940 nt
Filed under: uncultured organism
Description: bacterial SSU rRNA
Rfam family: Bacterial small subunit ribosomal RNA
Source: RNAcentral